AUGCCGCGUGCAGGAAGACGGCCCUAUGGGUUGUAAACUGCUUUUAUAUAGGAAGAAACCUACUUACGUGUAAGUAGCUGACGGUACUAUAAGAAUAAGGAUCGGCUAACUCCGUGCCAGCAGCCGCGGUAAUACGGAGGAUCCAAGCGUUAUCCGGAAUCAUUGGGUUUAAAGGGUCCGUAGGUGGAUAAUUAAGUCAGAGGUGAAAUCUUGCAGCUCAACUGUAAAAUUGCCUUUGAUACUGGUUAUCUUGAGUUAUUAUGAAGUAGUUAGAAUAUGUAGUGUAGCGGUGAAAUGCAUAGAUAUUACAUAGAAUACCAAUUGCGAAGGCAGAUUACUAAUAAUCAACUGACACUGAUGGACGAAAGCGUGGGUAGCGAACAGGAUUAGAUACCCUGGUAGUCCACGCCGUAAACGAUGGUUACUAGCUGUUUGGACCUUGUGUCUGAGUGGCUAAGCGAAAGUGAUAAGUAACCCACCUGGGGAGUACGUUCGCAAGAAUGAAACUCAAAGGAAUUGACGGGGGCCCGCACAAGCGGUGGAGCAUGUGGUUUAAUUCGAUGAUACGCGAGGAACCUUACCAGGGCUUAAAUGUAAGUUGCAUUAGUUAGAGAUAGCUAUUUCUUCGGACCACUUACAAGGUGCUGCAUGGUUGUCGUCAGCUCGUGCCGUGAGGUGUCAGGUUAAGUCCUAUAACGAGCGCAACCCCUGUUGUUAGUUGCCAGCGAGUCAUG
This 734-nucleotide ribosomal RNA is filed under the name uncultured Flavobacteriaceae bacterium. RNAcentral's name for it is "bacterial SSU rRNA". It matches the Rfam family "Bacterial small subunit ribosomal RNA", at positions 394 to 1130 of the family's 1533-position model. The record is from RNAcentral. Lineage: Bacteria; Pseudomonadati; Bacteroidota; Flavobacteriia; Flavobacteriales; Flavobacteriaceae.